UGGUCAAUAGCCUAACGGCUGAACCAGCAACUUGGAGGAAUGUAUAGCGAAAGCUAGCUGCAUUUAACUUAGCUACAGUGUAGUGUAGUAUUGACUAUGUCGAAUAAAGUUCUAGGUGGGUUAUGAUGAUGACAUUUCCUAUCUAUGUGUCUUGACCAAAUUACGUGCCAGCNGUCGCGGUAACACGUAAAAGACUAGUGUUAUUCAUCUUUAAUAGGUUUAAAGGGUACCUAGACGGUAAAUCAAGUCCGAGAAGGAUACUAAUUUGACUAGAGUUUAAUGUGAGGGGGCACUAAAGUACUGAUAAGUGUAGAGAUGAAAUUCUGUGAUACAAUAUACGGCACUGGUAAAGGCGAAAGCAUCUCAUUAUGUAAUAACUGACGUUGAGGGACGAAGGCUAUGUGAAGCAAAAAGGAUUAGAUACCCAAGUAGUCUUAGCAGAAAAUUAUGAAUGUCAUAGGAUGGAAAGUUGGACGAACAAACAACAAAUUUUUUUUUCUAUAAAUGAAAGUGUAAGCAUUCCACCUCGAGAGUAAUUUGGCAACAUUGGAACUGAAAUCAUUAGACCGUUUCUGAAACAAGUAGUGAAGUAUGUUGUUUAAUUUGAUGGUCCGCAAAAAACCUUACCACAAUUUGAAUAGAAAAAUUUUUUUUUCAUACAAGCGCUGCACGGUUGUCUUCAGUUAAUGUCGUGAGAUCUUGGUUAGUUCCAUUAAAUUAACGUAAACCCUUACUUUAUUUUUACAUAGAGUUGUUCACCGAUAGAUUGGAUAUGAUAACAGGGACUAAGACAAGUCAUCAUGGCC
Molecule: ribosomal RNA, 806 nt
Filed under: Oxnerella safavidiorum
Lineage: Eukaryota; Fungi; Ascomycota; Lecanoromycetes; Caliciales; Physciaceae
Description: SSU rRNA
Rfam family: Bacterial small subunit ribosomal RNA
Source: RNAcentral